AUCACUUUUCAGCCUUCUGGCUGAGAUCAAAUGUAAUGUCUGUUCUUAUCAGUUUAAUAUCUGAUACAUCCUCUAUCCAAGGACAUUAUAUUCUAUGAAUUUUGGGAGCUGGGAAAUGGAAUAGCUUGGUCCAUCUACUGCAUGCACUGACCCAGUAUUGUAGUACUUCUGAGAAUGGAGGGAGGGAG
Molecule: small nuclear RNA, 188 nt
Organism: Artibeus jamaicensis (Jamaican fruit-eating bat)
Lineage: Eukaryota; Metazoa; Chordata; Mammalia; Chiroptera; Phyllostomidae
Product: U2 spliceosomal RNA
Exons: 1
Source: RefSeq, a predicted model, not a curated record